GGUGAGUAAAUUAUUGAUUUUUUUUAUUUAAUUUAUUUUUAGUAAAAUAUUAUUUUGUUUUAUUCGUUGAUUGAAAAAAUUUUAUUUAAUUAUAGUUUAUAGUAAUGUGAAUGAAAUUUUAGAUUUAUUAAUAAGAAGAUGCUUAUUGUACCUUGUGUCUCAGGGUUAAUUAAUUUAUUUAUUAAAUAAUUAUUUCUCGAAUUGUUAAGAGUUAUUAUAAUAUUGUUUUUUAUGUUGAAAAAUGGUUAAAAAUAUUAUAAUAGGGGUGAUACGUUAGUCGUUUAAUGUUAUAUCUAGUUUUCUAAUAAAUUAAUUAAAUUAAUUUAUUUUGUUGGAAUUAUCUAAUUAUUAGAUUAUUUUAUGGAAUAUUAAAUUGGUCUAGGGAUGAGCUUGGUUCAAUAUUAUUAAAAGGUCUUUUAUUAGAAUUAUUUAUAGAAUUGGAAUUUUUUAUUUAGUUUGUUAUAAAUAUUAAUUUGGUUUUAUAAUUUUUUUUUCUUUAAGUUUUUUAUUAGAAUGUAAUUAUGAAUUUUGUUUAAUUGGUAAUUAUGGUUAAAUUAGUAAAAUAUGUUGUAAAAUUGAAAUGGAUUGUUAGGUUGUUUUAAGGAAUUCGGCAAAUUAAUUUUUCACCUGUUUAUUAAAAACAUGUCUUUUUGUUAUGAUGAAAAGUCUAGCCUGCCCACUGAUGACUUGAAUGGCUGCAGUAAUUUGACUGUACAAAGGUAGCAUAAUCAUUAGUUUUUUAAUUGAAAGCUGGAAUGAAAGGUUGGAUGAAAAAAUUACUGUCUCAAGACAAAUUUUUGAAUUUUAUUUUUGAGUAAAAAAGCUUAAAUAUUAGUUAAAGACGAGAAGACCCUAUAGAAUUUUAUAUUUAUAUUUUAUUGUUGUUUUUGGUAUUUAUUGUUCAAUAAGUUAUUUUAUUUGGUUGGGGUGAUUAUAAAAUUUAUUGAACUUUUAUUUGUUUUUACACUAAUAUGUGGUUAGUUGAUCCAUUUUUAAUGAUUAUAAGAUUAAAUUACCUUAGGGAUAACAGCGUAAUUUUUCUUGAGAGUUCUUAUCGAUAGUAAAGUUUGCGACCUCGAUGUUGGAUUAAAAUUUCUUUGGGUGUAGAAGCUCAAAUAUUAGGUCUGUUCGACCUUUAAAAUUUUACAUGAUCUGAGUUUAAACCGGUGUGAGCCAGGUUGGUUUCUAUCUUGAUUGUUUUUUUUUAUUUUAGUACGAAAGGACCAAAUAGAGGAUUUAUAAUUUAAUGGUUGAAUUUUAUUAUAC
This 1266-nucleotide ribosomal RNA is filed under the name Silvanidae sp. KM-2017. RNAcentral's name for it is "16S ribosomal RNA". The stretch from base 1023 to 1180 matches the Rfam family "Bacterial large subunit ribosomal RNA", at positions 2473 to 2632 of the family's 2925-position model. The record is from RNAcentral. Lineage: Eukaryota; Metazoa; Arthropoda; Insecta; Coleoptera; Silvanidae.